This 634-nucleotide ribosomal RNA is filed under the name Tremella mesenterica. RNAcentral's name for it is "LSU rRNA". It matches the Rfam family "Eukaryotic large subunit ribosomal RNA", at positions 43 to 663 of the family's 3401-position model. Lineage: Eukaryota; Fungi; Basidiomycota; Tremellomycetes; Tremellales; Tremellaceae. The record is from RNAcentral.
UCAAUAAGCGGAGGAAAAGAAACUAACAAGGAUUCCCCUAGUAACGGCGAGCGAACCGGGAAGAGCUCAAAUUUGAAAUCUGGCGUCCCCACGGGCGUCCGAGUUGUAAUCUGCAGAGGCGUCUUCCGCCCCGGACCGCGUCCAAAUCCCUUGGAACAGGGUAUCAAAGAGGGUGACAAUCCCGUGCUUGACGCGACCCCCGGUGCUAUGUGAUGCGACCUCAAAGAGUCGAGUUGUUUGGGAAUGCAGCUCAAAACGGGUGGUAAAUUCCAUCUAAGGCUAAAUAUUGGCGAGAGACCGAUUGCGAACAAGUACCGUGAGGGAAAGAUGAAAAGCACUUUGGAAAGAGAGUUAAACAGUACGUGAAAUUGUUGGAAGGGAAACGAUUGAAGUCAGUCGUGUCCGAGGGGUUCAGCCGGUCCUGCCGGUGCACUCCCCUCGGACGGGUCAACAUCGGUUCUGUCCGGCGGACAAGGGCAGGGGGAACGUGGCACCCUCGUGGUGUGUUAUAGCCCCCCGUCGCAUACGUCGGUCGGGACCGAGGAUCGCAGCUCGCCCUCACGGGCCGGGGUUCGCCCACGUCCGAGCUUAGGAUGUUGACGUAAUGGCUUUAAACGACCCGUCUUGAAACACG